RNAcentral lists this ribosomal RNA (465 nucleotides) under Vreelandella stevensii. RNAcentral describes it as "partial 16S ribosomal RNA". It matches the Rfam family "Bacterial small subunit ribosomal RNA", at positions 338 to 795 of the family's 1533-position model. The record is from RNAcentral. Lineage: Bacteria; Pseudomonadati; Pseudomonadota; Gammaproteobacteria; Oceanospirillales; Halomonadaceae.
CCUACGGGAGGCUGCAGUGGGGAAUAUUGGACAAUGGGGGGAACCCUGAUCCAGCCAUGCCGCGUGUGUGAAGAAGGCCCUCGGGUUGUAAAGCACUUUCAGUGAGGAAGAACGCCUGGUGGUUUAUACCCAUCAGGAAAGACAUCACUCACAGAAGAAGCACCGGCUAACUCCGUGCCAGCAGCCGCGGUAAUACGGAGGGUGCGAGCGUUAAUCGGAAUUACUGGGCGUAAAGCGCGCGUAGGUGGCUUGAUAAGCCGGUUGUGAAAGCCCCGGGCUCAACCUGGGAACGGCAUCCGGAACUGUCAAGCUAGAGUGCAGGAGAGGAAGGUAGAAUUCCCGGUGUAGCGGUGAAAUGCGUAGAGAUCGGGAGGAAUACCAGUGGCGAAGGCGGACUUCUGGACUGACACUGACACUGAGGUGCGAAAGCGUGGGUAGCAAACAGGAUUAGAUACCCCGGUAGUC